UCUGUAUGUUCCUUUUGUACUCGUGAGCCAGUUUGAUUCUGGUGCCACAGGAGUCAGAAAGCUAUGGACUAGAAGAUCUUUUAAAUUCUUUGAUCUUCGAGCCGUAAUUGUUGGAUAAUUAGGCAGUGACUGUUUCAACAUGGGAUUAUGUAAAAGAAUAGGCCAAUGCGUAGAAAAAGUUUUUGUCAUUUUGCUCCAACCACUAUCAAAAGUGGCGAUACAUCUCGGAGUUGGGAUAUUU
Pelobates cultripes (western spadefoot toad) is the source of this 241-nucleotide non-coding RNA. The record is from the annotation of a GenBank genome assembly. NCBI's taxonomy places the organism in Eukaryota, Metazoa, Chordata, Amphibia, Anura, Pelobatidae.